This 27-nucleotide non-coding RNA is filed under the name Homo sapiens (human). The record is from RNAcentral. Lineage: Eukaryota; Metazoa; Chordata; Mammalia; Primates; Hominidae.
UGCUGGUGUCAUGAACCCCUUACAGUG